UAAAAGGGCUUAUUGUUUUCAGAAUUGACCAUUGUCUAAUUCUUCAGCUGUCUUUUCAGAACUGAACAACAAACCACUAUGCUUUCCUCUGAGUCUUCUCGAGAGUAUCUAGCCAAAGUUCUUGGGAUCAUUUUGACAUCUUUUUGACAAUCAGCAGGGAGUAAUGGCAACACAUGCUGGGCACCUAGCUCCCUGGAGACUUGGAACAAAGACAGAAAACCCUGUCAAUGGAGUUCUGUGGUACAAGGGUCAAUCCCCAGGAAAAUAUGCUGCAUUUUAUCAAGAUGUUAUCUCAACAAACAAGAAAUCAAGAAAUCAUAUGAAGAUGAUAGAAUGGGAAGUAACCUAGGGCAACAUUCAACCCCCACCCUCCA
Molecule: long non-coding RNA, 374 nt
Filed under: Phascolarctos cinereus (koala)
Lineage: Eukaryota; Metazoa; Chordata; Mammalia; Diprotodontia; Phascolarctidae
Description: lncRNA (ENSPCIG00000030668.1)
Source: RNAcentral